Molecule: long non-coding RNA, 397 nt
Organism: Dermacentor albipictus
Lineage: Eukaryota; Metazoa; Arthropoda; Arachnida; Ixodida; Ixodidae
Source: RefSeq, a predicted model, not a curated record
CAGAUUUGACCGCCGCAGCUUUGACAGAGACAGCAAGAAAUGGCGUCGAAGACGUGGUCACUCUAUUCUACGUGGAUCCUCUUAGCGGUUAUCGUCGCCAUGAGCACUGUUGGUGCAGAAGAGUCCAAGUUUCUUAUUCCAAAAUGUAAACAGGGAGAAUCCUCAGGAUGUGUGAAACCUCCCGGUAAUCCGUGCGCCGAGGACACAUGCAACGUGGAAAAGCGUGGUAAUUUUUGUUUUUACGACUGUCUAAUGGGUUGCGUGUGUAACAAAGGCCUGUAUCGUCGCUUGUCGGACCGGAAGUGCGUUCCUCAAAGUGAAUGCAAUGCCUAAUCUCGCCGACGAUGACGUCAUGCGGAUACGGCGCAGUAAUAAAAUAUAGCAGCUGCAUUUCCCA